UUAUCAAUGAAGCAUGGUAAUGUGCACAUAAAUUGAAUUGGGUCUCUAGGCCUGUCCUCUCUGACGCCAUUUGGCCUUGAUUUGGGAGGAUGGUUCCACAGAAAAACA
Small nucleolar RNA from Rhododendron vialii, 108 nucleotides. RefSeq annotates it as small nucleolar RNA snoR100. The record is from RefSeq and is a predicted model, not a curated record. The transcript has a single exon. NCBI's taxonomy places the organism in Eukaryota, Viridiplantae, Streptophyta, Magnoliopsida, Ericales, Ericaceae.